GUGCCAGCAGCCGCGGUAAUACAGAGGGUGCAAGCGUUAAUCGGAAUUACUGGGCGUAAAGGGUCUGUAGGCGGAUCAUUAAGUCGGAUGUGAGAUCCCCGGGCUCAACCUGGGAACUGCAUUCGAUACUGGUGGUCUAGAGUGUGCAAGAGGAUGGGGGAAUUCCUGGUGUAGCAGUGAAAUGCGUAGAUAUCGGGAGGAACAUCAAUGGCGAAGGCACCUUUCUGGGGCAACACUGACGCUGAGAGACGAAAGCGUGGGGAGCAAACAGGAUUAGAUACCCUGGUAGUCCACGCCCUAAACGAUGUCAACUAAUUGUUCGAAGUCGCUUAAAUUUUGAGCAAUGAAGCUAACGCGAUAAGUUGACCGCCUGGGGAGUACGGCCGCAAGGUUGAAACUCAAAUAAAUUGACGGG
This 415-nucleotide ribosomal RNA is filed under the name uncultured Gammaproteobacteria bacterium. Its description in RNAcentral is "bacterial SSU rRNA". It matches the Rfam family "Bacterial small subunit ribosomal RNA", at positions 505 to 917 of the family's 1533-position model. The record is from RNAcentral. Lineage: Bacteria; Pseudomonadati; Pseudomonadota; Gammaproteobacteria.